GAUGAACGCUAGCUACAGGCUUAACACAUGCAAGUCGCAGGGUAACAUGAGGAAAGCUUGCUUUCCUUGAUGACGACUGGCGCACGGGUGAGUAACGCGUAUCCAACCUUCCCAUAACUACGGGAUAACCCGUUGAAAGACGGCCUAAUACCGUAUGACAUCGUUUGCUGACAUCAAAUAACGAUUAAAGGUUUAGCGGUUAUGGAUGGGGAUGCGUCUGAUUAGCUUGUUGGCGGGGUAACGGCCCACCAAGGCGACGAUCAGUAGGGGUUCUGAGAGGAAGGUCCCCCACAUUGGAACUGAGACACGGUCCAAACUCCUACGGGAGGCAGCAGUGAGGAAUAUUGGUCAAUGGGCGAGAGCCUGAACCAGCCAAGUAGCGUGCAGGAUGACGGCCCUAUGGGUUGUAAACUGCUUUUAUGUGGGGAUAAAGUGCGUGACGUGUCAUGCAUUGCAGGUACCACAUGAAUAAGGACCGGCUAAUUCCGUGCCAGCCGCCGCGGUAAAAC
RNAcentral lists this ribosomal RNA (509 nucleotides) under uncultured bacterium. RNAcentral describes it as "bacterial SSU rRNA". It matches the Rfam family "Bacterial small subunit ribosomal RNA", at positions 28 to 526 of the family's 1533-position model. The record is from RNAcentral.